GAGUUUGAUCAUGGCUCAGAGCGAACGUUUGCGGCGGGCUUAACACAUGCAAGUCGAACGAGAAUCCCUUCGGGGAGGAAAGUGGCGCACGGGUGCGUAACACGUGGAUAACCAACCCAUUGGUUUGGGACAACACCGGGAAACUGGUGCUAAUACCAGAUGUGUCGCAGCUGUCUUCAGGCGGUUGCGAGAAAGGCCCGCAAGGGUCGCCAACGGACGGGUCCGCGUCCCAUCAGCUAGUUGGUGAGGUAAUGGCUCACCAAGGCAAAGACGGGUAGCUGGUCUGAGAGGAUGAUCAGCCACACUGGAACUGAGACACGGUCCAGACUCCUACGGGAGGCAGCAGUGGGGAAUAUUGCGCAAUGGGCGAAAGCCUGACGCAGCCACGCCGCGUGAGCGAUGAAGGUCUUCGGAUCGUAAAGCUCUGUGGGGGGAGAAGAAGAAAGCCGGUGAAGAGCCGGCCCUGACGGUAUCCCCUUAGCAAGCACCGGCUAACUCCGUG
RNAcentral lists this ribosomal RNA (502 nucleotides) under uncultured bacterium. RNAcentral describes it as "bacterial SSU rRNA". It matches the Rfam family "Bacterial small subunit ribosomal RNA", at positions 9 to 507 of the family's 1533-position model. The record is from RNAcentral.